CUUUGUCCUCUGCCAUGAGUGUGAGGCCUCCCCAGCCAUGUGGAACUGUGAGUCCAUUAAACCUCCUUCUUUAUAAAUUCCCCAUUCUCAGGUAUGUCUUUAUUAGUAGCGUGAGAACAGAUGAGGCUCACUGGACUAGCUGGUGGGGGAGGAGAAAGCAGCCCAUGUUCCCUCUCUCAAGCAGGACCAUUUUGUUUUCCUCAGUUUCCCUCUUCCACUUCCACUUGGGGACCCCCACAGCCAUGGCCAGAGAGAGGGAGCUUGGGGUCCCAGUGCCUGGUACAAACUCACUCUGCCCCUCACUGCCCUUGGGGUCCCCACUCUGUGGGGUCAGGGACCGGGGUCCACAAGGAACUGCUUGUCGCCAUCUUCCCACCCCCCACCCCAAAGGGGCUUGAGCAUGUUCCCAGGCUCGCUUUCCCCACUGAAGGAGGGGUGGCUGUGUGAGUCCUUCCACUUCAUGACCCUCUCUGUUUCCUUAUAUGUUCAGCAAAGGCUUGACUGAAGUCACGGGUCUCAUCAUUCCUUUCCUAAGCUUUCUUCAAACAGCAUGGUGCGUGGAUGAGGACACACGUGCUCUGUAGAAGGUGGGGCCACAAAGCCCUGCCGACCGACCUUUCCUGCCUUCUGCCUCUAAGGUGCAACCCCGAAAGCACCUGCUGGAACCUUUGGGGCUCAGGGAGCACAGCCUGGAAGCAGGGGGAUACUCCCCAGGGCUGCAGUCCACCUCGGAAGCUGCUCACCACAGGUGUCUGCUUACACUUCAAUUCAGAUCACAUAAGAUACACAUGCAGCUCUUAGGCUUCUGAGCCACCCUUCAAGAGCACAGCCACUCGUGGCUAAUGGCUGCUGACUGGAACCCUGGAUGGCCCAAUCUGGAACUUUUCAUCACCCCAGAGCAUCCUGUGCAGUGCUUCUCCCGGGGAGCCCUGCAGGCAGUGACCUCCAGCUCCGAGCCUGAUCCCACAUGAGCAGGAAGAAGACAGCCCAGGGAGGCUGCCCACAGCCACAAGCUCAUUUCUCAUGGCAAACCACAAAUGGGAGAUGCUAAGAAAUUAGAAUAGAGGAUGCUCCAGAGCAGACGCUCCUGUUUACAGGAAACAAGGUUCAUUCUGUGGGAUAAGGAUUGGAUCUGAUCUGCGGCCAUUUACUUUCUACGCAACCUACCCCUGCCCUCACUGCCGACGCUGCCUCAAUCAGCUUCCCAGGGACAAACGUGAAAUCAAGCCCACCAGCUCCAAGACAAACACAAUCUCAGGGACUGGGCCCCAAAGCCACGAUGGGCAGGGAUUGCUCCCAGACGAGGGAAUGCUUUCAAAAGAAACAGAGAGUUUUUACCUUUUUGCCAACAAUUCUGUGGGCAACAUUUGUUUUCUAUUUUCCUUUUUUUCUCCCACUAAAUCACUUUUAUAAACUCCUCAAAAGUUUCAGUUUAUUCAGUGACAAUUAGUUUAUGGCAUUUCUGAAGUGGAUUUAGAUUCGAGUGAUAAAAUUACAAGCCAAAAUUGCAACCAUAAUGGAAAAUCCUGGUUCAUGUUUGGCCUUUGAGACCACAACUGAGAGAUUACGGGUGGACGCCAGCGAGCAGGGGGCAGCAGUCACUGAGCGUUCCCUUCCCCACGGAGUAGGGUCCCAAUCUGCCAACUCCUGGGGUGUUGGCGGGACAGGAGGCAUGGACGUGGCAGAACACGUGGCAGGACAGGUGGAAGAAGAACACAGGCUGGUUGGCAGGUUCACAUCUUCUCGCCCCGAGACAUGUCCUUUCUGUCCUCAAUUUCAGAACCAGCACUUUCCUGAAUUCCAGGCCAGCUGAUUGCAUCUCAGUUUCUUAGUGUUUAACGGAGACCUUCCUGAGCUAUUUCCUGAUAGCAGCUGGGAGCCUUUUGAACAGCCUGCAGCGGGAUUCUGGAACAAUCUAAACUGGCCAUGGCAGUUCCAGGGGCAGGGCUGACUUUGAACUCCAGCAGGAAGUGCAGUGCGAGGCCAGCUCACCCACUUCAGCGUCUCUUUCCUUUGGGUCGUUUAGACCCCAACAACACCCCCAAGUCCUGUCGCCCCUGCGGGAAGGAGAGGCUGGUGGGAGGAAAGAAGCCUUGUUGAGCAUCUACUGCAGUCCCGCCCUGGGGCUAUGGCUGGGAGCUGGACAGGCCGGGUCCUUGCCCUCCUGGGGCCUGCCUUCUAGUGGGGAGAGAGAUAGAGACAGAGGAAACAAAACACAGACCAGAGGAUUUCGGAGGGUCUGAGGACUCCGAGGAGAA
This 2258-nucleotide long non-coding RNA is filed under the name Homo sapiens (human). Its description in RNAcentral is "HSALNT0234837". The record is from RNAcentral. Lineage: Eukaryota; Metazoa; Chordata; Mammalia; Primates; Hominidae.